Bactrocera dorsalis (oriental fruit fly) is the source of this 1756-nucleotide long non-coding RNA. RefSeq lists it as uncharacterized. The transcript has 4 exons. NCBI's taxonomy places the organism in Eukaryota, Metazoa, Arthropoda, Insecta, Diptera, Tephritidae. The record is from RefSeq and is a predicted model, not a curated record.
ACAAUUUUACGAACCGUGUCUUCUAAGAAUUUGAAACAUUUCUCAUAUUAGUUUAAAACAAAUUGAAGCAAAUUAUAAAAAACAUUGAAUAUUUUAGUCUAAAAGUGAACUAUUCAUUAUCGAGAAUAACAAAAUAAAUCGAUUUGCAUACAAUUUUUAACUUAGAGCGAGUUUACACCCGAAAACUUUUGUUGCUCGUUUUUGGAAUAUUCUCGUCUGGUGUUCUGCAAUCUUUUUGAUAUCAUAUUAUCAAAUUUUUGUACGCUUCAUUUAAAAUGUGCACAAAAAUAUUUUUCUUAAGAUAAUUUUUAUCUUUAUUCUUAAUUUUCAAAAACACUUCCAAUAUAAUAAAGAUAUUUGCAUAUUUAUAUUCUAUUUAAAAAGUUUAUGAUUAAAUUAAAUUUUCCUCGACGUGCCCUCGCCUACAGUUUGGGCGAUAAAAGGCGAAGUGUGUCAAUGCGCGCUUAAUCCUUUUAAAGUAUCGAUAAGUCGUUGUAUUCAUAUAUUGUGUAUCGCCCACCCCUACAUGUACUCAUUUUGAAAUUGUCAGACGGAUUGGAUGGAUUGGAAAAAUUUACUGCGACAUAAUUGGAGAAAUUUCAAGGAUUUUGGUGAAUAUAGUGUGUGAAAAAUUUAAUAAUAAAUUAAUUAGUGAUUAAUUAAAAUGAGUUGCUCAAAGAGGCAUUUGAAACGCCUUUUAAAGCUAAAAAAGAGUUUUAUACAGAGCAAUUAGCCGUUAAAAAUGAGGAAUCAGUACGAGUUCGGGGAAACGAUGCCGCUACCGAGAAUAUUGCGCAUUGUAAUUCUUUUCAUAGUACUGAUGCCACUAGGGAAAAGCUUCCAUUAAAGAAAUUUGCCACAUAACGACCAAUUAUUUUUUAUACCAAUAUUACAUGGCUGCACUAAUUAACGUUUUUAAUUUUGUUUUCAUAUACAUACUUACAUACAUAUGUAAAUAUUUGGAGUUGCUACAUAAGGAAAAAAUAUGGAAACAGCUGGAAAGCUUCGCCGGAUGAACGCCGGAAUACCCCAAUCAUUUUUAGAUAGCUUCAAUGAUGGUUGCGAUAAGUGCAACAACCUUCAAAAAUUAUUUGUGGACAAAAUUACAAAAUUGGGAGAAUUAAUUGAAAAACAAAACAAAGUGAUCAUUAAUAUUUUGGCGGAACAUGCCAUUUUGUUACAAAAUCUAACUCAAAAGGAGAAGGAAACUGUUGGAGCUAUUUCCUAUCAAAACAGAUGAUGAUAUCGUGAAAUUAGAGGUGGAAAUAAAUGAUGAUAAUAGAGAUUUCUAUAUUUCAGCAGUGAAAUACUUGUUACAAGGAGAGGUUGUAAAAAAUUUCGAAAAGGUUUUGGCGCGUAAAUUUUGCCUUGAAUACAACAUUAAUGGAAUUGGCAACAAAAAGAGCUUUAAGGAUUAUUCUAUGGUGUAUACCAUACUUUAAAGUAUGGACAAUUGCGGACGUGGUCCAAACAUAUGGAAAAAAUAUAGUUACAUUAACAUUGCGAUGUCAUUGGACAUGACCACAUCUGGUCCAACGCUGCAUAACAUAGGACCACCUACCAAACUACCUCCUUUGGUCCAACAUAUAUUAUGCUUACACAAGACCAUUGCGUUCUCGACCACCUACGAAACUACUUCGUCUAGUCCAUAUUCUAAUUACACUAGACCAUGGCAUACUCUACUUACUAUUAUUGUGGUCCAAAUGGACCACAUUUUUGAGCCAUUUCCAAUAAAAAUUUUUAAACGCUGUUUUUA